Ipomoea nil (Japanese morning glory) is the source of this 123-nucleotide long non-coding RNA. RefSeq lists it as uncharacterized. The record is from RefSeq and is a predicted model, not a curated record. Lineage: Eukaryota; Viridiplantae; Streptophyta; Magnoliopsida; Solanales; Convolvulaceae. The transcript has 4 exons.
UUUGAUUUACUUUUAUCCAAAUUACCUGCAUAAUCUGAAUCAACAUAGCCUUUAAUAAUGAAGUCUGAUCCUCCAUAACACAAUGCAAUAUCUGAGGUACCCUUGAUAUAUAUAAGGAUCUUC